GCGACCGCAUCGCGACGUGAAGGAGUCAGGAAAAUCUUUCAAUUUUGACAGCAAAGAGGGAAAACUUCUAAUUGGAUUUGGAUUGUUAUUUCUUAGGGUAUUAGGACUUUAUUUUAGUACUAUAAAUACAUGUAUUAGGGGGAUAAUCAUUUAUCAUCUACUACAUUGGAACUCAAAUCCUUGUUUUGGAAGAUCAAAGGCAUGUCGAG
This 209-nucleotide long non-coding RNA is filed under the name Panax ginseng (ginseng). RNAcentral's name for it is "long non-coding RNA (PGIN_LNC010630)". The record is from RNAcentral. Lineage: Eukaryota; Viridiplantae; Streptophyta; Magnoliopsida; Apiales; Araliaceae.